UGGAAGAACUUGGAGGUUGAUUGUCUGGCAGGGGAUCAAGGAGUGGGAAUUGUAUAGAACACAUGCCAAGCAUCAACCAUGUCUUGGAAGAUGGAAGAGAAUAAGAGCUGGACCCUGCCCUCAAGGAAACUAUGAUCAGGUCCCAAGGCUAAUGGAAGCAAUUUGUAUACCAACCCAAACUGACUGGCCCACUUUUCAAAAUACAGGUAUGAUAAUCUUGUGGUUUUAAAAGGACAUUUAAAUUGAAAGACUGUGAAUUUAGUACAUAAUUAUACCAAUAGAACCCUUUAACUUGUCAACUUGUAAA
Herpailurus yagouaroundi (jaguarundi) is the source of this 307-nucleotide long non-coding RNA. RefSeq lists it as uncharacterized. The transcript is spliced from 3 exons. The record is from RefSeq and is a predicted model, not a curated record. Lineage: Eukaryota; Metazoa; Chordata; Mammalia; Carnivora; Felidae.